UCAAAUUUUAAAACCUCAAAUUAAAAGUCUGUUCGCACUAGAAAAAUACAAGCAAAUACAUUAGCAACCAACAAUAAAUUAAAACCUAAACAUCCAGCAUAAUUUGAACUUUGAAGAAAAAAUUCCAACAACACCAGCAUCCAGAAAUUCCAGCAACACCAGCACCAACAUCCAAAAAUUCCAGCAACACCAGCACCAACAUCCAAAAAUUUAUCAUUGGUCAAAAAAUCAGUUAAUUUCCAAAUCCAAAAUCAUUCAACAGCACAAAAACAGAAAUCUAAUCUAGAAUGAAUAAUUAAUACAACAAGUUAAUUGCUAAGCAUCAAACACAUUAAUAGUUAACAUUACAGAAUGAAAGUACUAGGAAUAUAAGGGGAAAAAACCUAAAAGCCAAUUUCCUUUUCGUUUUUCUUUUCUAAACCUUAUACUGUUCUUUCCACUUUCCAAAUAAAUAAGGUGGUCAUCAAAUUCCCCCAGAAAAUAUUUAUAAUAUGCUAAGAUUUUCAAGGAAUAACCAUAGAAAGUGGUUAUGAUUUUCAAAUAUUACUACAAUUCGUGUAAAUUAAUGUGAAAUCUGCACUCUUGUUAUGCAGUACUGAGAUUGAUCGUGGCUAGAAAGCUUAACAAAGCAAAAUAUCAACAGAUUCAAAACAAUCAAAAUAAACCGAUACAUAUUAAAGUUAACAACACUUAACAAAGCAAUCAAGAACUCAAUAUCAACAGAUUCAAUAAAAAUCAACAGAAAAAAGAAAAGGGUCGGGGAAAGAGGGGCAAACCUGAAGAAAUAUGUAAAAACCCUAGCUGCAAAAGGAUAGAAAAAGAAGAAGUAGAGGUCAGAGAUCUCGAAUGGAACAAAUGUUACAAUACAACUUACAAGCACACGAAGCCCAGAAUUAAUACAUGGAUAAACAUUAAACUUUACCUCUUUGACUCUUUCUGCUGCAAGUGAAUAGAGACGCCGAGGGGUUUUGUUCGAGUUUUUUUUCGACUUCGAGUAUACUAGAUGAGUAGAUCGAUGCGGAGAUGAGGGUUAUUUACUUGUUGAUCGGCUAGAGAAGAGAAAUAUACAAGGGGCAAGAGGCAGAGAUGAAGAAAAUUGAAAGGGAAAGUAGGAAGGAGAGAAGACUUUGGUCUGGUGUGGGCGGCGGCUUAGAAGUAAAGUGUAAUGUGAUUUAGGUUUAGGUUUACUGUGCUAUUUAUACCAGGUUGUUUUUAAAUGUAUUUUAUGGGUGACUGGUUCGGUUCACCGGUUUUGGUGGUAAAACCGAAACCGAACCGAACCGGAAAGAUUUCUGG
RNAcentral lists this long non-coding RNA (1296 nucleotides) under Populus tremula. RNAcentral describes it as "long non-coding RNA (PTRE_LNC000254)". The record is from RNAcentral. Lineage: Eukaryota; Viridiplantae; Streptophyta; Magnoliopsida; Malpighiales; Salicaceae.